RNAcentral lists this transfer RNA (73 nucleotides) under Camelus bactrianus (Bactrian camel). It matches the Rfam family "tRNA". From Rfam's summary of the family: Transfer RNA (tRNA) molecules are approximately 80 nucleotides in length. Their secondary structure includes four short double-helical elements and three loops (D, anti-codon, and T loops). Lineage: Eukaryota; Metazoa; Chordata; Mammalia; Artiodactyla; Camelidae. RNAcentral also lists the same sequence under 2 other names. The record is from Rfam by way of RNAcentral.
GCAGGGGUAGCUCAGUGGUAGAGUACAUGCUUAGCAUGCACGAGGUCCUGGGUUCAAUUCCCCAGUACUUCCA